This 654-nucleotide long non-coding RNA is filed under the name Homo sapiens (human). RNAcentral describes it as "HSALNT0370505". Lineage: Eukaryota; Metazoa; Chordata; Mammalia; Primates; Hominidae. The record is from RNAcentral.
UCGCGUGAGUGCGCGUGCGUUGGGGCCUCAGCCUUUAUCUCCACUCUGCGGAGAUUCACGCCUGGAAAACGCUCUUCUGAGAGGAUCUGUGGAGGUCAACCCAGGAGAGAGAAGACAGGACUGAAGCACUGAAAGGGUCCUGCCGUUAAGGGCGCAGGAUUGUAUAGAAUAUAUAAUAGCAGUAGCAGCUCUGUUUACGGAGCAUUAACCUUACGUGGAGUUAUUUCCUGCAUUUCCUCCUUUCGUCUUUACAAGGUAGCCGUUUGGCGUCGUGAGUAUGUGCCAAAUCUACUAGACAUUGGAGAAACAGUAGGAACAACACAUGGUACCGGCACAUGGAUCUUUCAGGAAAACGAAGUAGGUAAUAAACAGGAAAAAGCCCGAGUCUGAUGCUAAGAAGAACAUAAACAGGAUGCUGAGCGGAAAGUGACCAGAAGAGGUGUGCAGUUUCCAGGCCUGGCCCAUACAGACCUCCAACAGGUGCUCCCCUGUGCUGUUACUCCUUCUGCCAACUGGAAGCAGAUGGUGACCAGGCUCUGGAGAAGGCAAGGCCUGAAGAUGGGAGAUUCCUAAGUGGAGGAGAACUGUGCCUUACUGACCUAAAUAUCCACUCAGUAUUGUUAUGUGAGAAUAAAUAAACUUGUGUUGACCGUU